Molecule: ribosomal RNA, 409 nt
Filed under: uncultured bacterium
Lineage: Bacteria
Description: bacterial SSU rRNA
Rfam family: Bacterial small subunit ribosomal RNA
Source: RNAcentral
AGCGAACGCUGGCGGCGUGCCUAACACAUGCAAGUCGCACGAGAAAGGGGCCGCAAGGCCCCCUGUAAAGUGGCGAACGGGUGAGUAACACGUGGGUAACCUGCCCCUGGGUUCGGAAUAAACCUGCCGAAAGGCGGGCUAAUACCGGACGACAACGCGCGGUCCUUGGACUGUGCGUUCAAAGCUGACCUCUUCAUGAAAGUUGGCGCCUGGGGAGGGGCCCGCGGCCCAUUAGCUAGUUGGUGAGGUAACGGCUCACCAAGGCUCCGAUGGGUAGCCGGCCUGAGAGGGCGACCGGCCACAGUGGAACUGAGACACGGUCCACACUCCUACGGGAGGCAGCAGUGAGGAAUCUUGCGCAAUGGGGGAAACCCUGACGCAGCGACGCCGCGUGGACGAUGAAGGCCUU